GAACGGGUGAGUAACACGUGGGUGAUCUGCCCUGCACUUUGGGAUAAGCCUGGGAAACUGGGUCUAAUACCGAAUAGGACCACGCGCUUCAUGGUGUGUGGUGGAAAGCUUUUGCGGUGUGGGAUGGGCCCGCGGCCUAUCAGCUUGUUGGUGGGGUAAUGGCCUACCAAGGCGACGACGGGUAGCCGGCCUGAGAGGGUGACCGGCCACACUGGGACUGAGAUACGGCCCAGACUCCUACGGGAGGCAGCAGUGGGGAAUAUUGCACAAUGGGCGCAAGCCUGAUGCAGCGACGCCGCGUGAGGGAUGACGGCCUUCGGGUUGUAAACCUCUUUCAAUAGGGACGAAGCGCAAGUGACGGUACCUAUAGAAGAAGCACCGGCCAACUACGUGCCAGCAGCCGCGGUAAUACGUAGGGUGCGAGCGUUGUCCGGAAUUACUGGGCGUAAAGAGCUCGUAGGUGGUUUGUCGCGUUGUUCGUGAAAACUCACAGCUUAACUGUGGGCGUGCGGGCGAUACGGGCAGACUAGAGUACUGCAGGGGAGACUGGAAUUCCUGGUGUAGCGGUGGAAUGCGCAGAUAUCAGGAGGAACACCGGUGGCGAAGGCGGGUCUCUGGGCAGUAACUGACGCUGAGGAGCGAAAGCGUGGGGAGCGAACAGGAUUAGAUACCCUGGUAGUCCACGCCGUANACGGUGGGUACUAGGUGUGGGUUCCUUCCUUGGGAUCCGUGCCGUAGCUAACGCAUUAAGUACCCCGCCUGGGGAGU
RNAcentral lists this ribosomal RNA (768 nucleotides) under uncultured bacterium. RNAcentral describes it as "bacterial SSU rRNA". It matches the Rfam family "Bacterial small subunit ribosomal RNA", at positions 100 to 881 of the family's 1533-position model. The record is from RNAcentral.